Long non-coding RNA from Chelonia mydas (Green sea turtle), 239 nucleotides. RefSeq lists it as uncharacterized. The transcript has 2 exons. The record is from RefSeq and is a predicted model, not a curated record. NCBI's taxonomy places the organism in Eukaryota, Metazoa, Chordata, Testudines, Cheloniidae.
CCGGGAGAAGGGCGAUUCCGCAGCCUGGGUUUUUGUACGAUCACAAACCUGUUUCGUUUCACUGUGUCUCUCGCACAGUAAUAGCGGGCGGUGUCCUCGGGCUUCAGGCCGGUCAUUUGCAGAUACAGCUCACUCUUGGAGUUAUCCCUGGAGAUGGUGAAUCGCCCUUUCACUGCAUCGAGGUAGUAUAUAGUACUCCCAUCGUAUCUUAUAUAAGCGACCCAUUCUAAUCCCUUCCC